RNAcentral lists this ribosomal RNA (2865 nucleotides) under Triticum aestivum (bread wheat). RNAcentral describes it as "partial small subunit ribosomal RNA". Lineage: Eukaryota; Viridiplantae; Streptophyta; Magnoliopsida; Poales; Poaceae. The record is from RNAcentral.
AUGCUUCCCGCACUGAGCACCCGUCCUCUACACAGUCAGGAUCGUUGCACGCACACUCUGGUUGGGGCUGGCCCUCGCCGCUGUGAUUCUCAGGGUCUUUGGGAGUUGGACUGGCUUCAUGUUCCUUCCGCUGCCACCACCAUCGCCAGUUCCUCCGCUGCUGUCGCUUCUGUUACUGGUUCCUUCAAGCAGUGGCAUCAUCGACUUGGUCAUCUGUGUGGUUCUCGAUUAUCGUCUUUAGUUCGUCGAGGCCUUCUGGGGUCUGUCUCAGGAGAUGUCUCUUUAGAGUGUCAGGGUUGUCGUCUUGGCAAGCAGAUUCAGCUACCAUAUUCUCAUAGUGAGUCAGUGUCUCAGCGUCCUUUCGAUUUAGUCCAUUCUGAUGUAUGGGGUCCGGCUCCUUUCACUUCGAAAGGUGGUCAUAAAUACUAUAUUAUUUUCAUCGAUGAUUUUUCUCGUUACACAUGGCUUUAUUUCAUGACUUCACGUAGUGAGGUGUUAUCUAUUUAUAAGCGUUUUGCUGCCAUGGUUCAUACUCAGUUCUCUUCACCCAUUCGUGUUUUUCGUGCUGACUCCGCUGGUGAGUAUAUCUCUAAGAUGUUGCGUGGUGUUCUUGCUGAGCAGGGUACUCUUGCCCAGUUCUCUUGUCCUGGUGCUCAUGCUCAGAAUGGUGUGUCUGAGCGUAAGCAUCGUCACCUUCUUGAGACGGCUCGUGCUAUGAUGAUCGCCGUCUCUCUUCCGCCUCAUUUUUGGGCCGAGGCUAUCUCCACUUCUGUCUAUCUCAUCAACCUUCAGCCAUCUGCUGCUUUGCAGGGUGGUGUUCCUUUUGAGCGUCUGUUUGAUCGCUCUCCCGAUUAUUCGAUGCUUCGCUUGUUUGGUUGUGUUUGCUAUGUUCUUCUUGCCCCUCGCGAACGCACCAAACUGACCGCUCAGUCUGUUGAGUGUGUCUUCUUAGGCUACAGUGAUGAGCAUAAGGGCUAUCGUUGUUGGGAUCCUGUCGGUCGUCGGAUGCGUAUCUCUCGAGAUGUGACUUUUGAUGAGUCUCGUCCUUUUUAUCCACGCUCAUCUUCCUCGGUCUUUUUCGUGGAGGAUAUCUCUUUUCUCACUUUUCCUGACUCCCCUAUCACUCCUGUCGCGCCUGUGCCUAUUCGUCCCACUCUCUCUGCUUCUCCACCCCUCGUCGAUUCACCGCCACCAUCUUCCCCGGUUUCCUCACCUAGCAUGUCCCCGGAUUCUACACCUUCAUCUCCGGUGACUUCUUCGUCGCCACCCCCUGCUUCUCCCUUGGCGAUUCCUCCUUCUCUUGUUCCAUCUCUUCCUCAGCAUUACACUCGUCGUUCACGACCUGUGGAUGCUUCCUUGGAUGAUUCGUCCUCUUCCUCUCAGCCUACUUAUGGCUUGCGUUCUCGUCCUCGUCCGCCUAUUGAUCACUUUGGGUUUCCCACCGCUGGUGCUGCUGUUCUUGAGCCGACUUCUUACCGUCAGGCUGUUGUUCAUCCUGAAUGGCAGUUUGCGAUGGCAGAGGAGAUUGCUGCUCUUGAACGCACUGGUACCUGGGAUCUUGUUUCUCUUCCUCCCGGAGUCCGUCCCAUCACUUGUAAGUGGGUCUACAAGGUUAAGACUCGCUCCGAUGGUUCUCUUGAGCGUCACAAAGCUCGUCUCGUGGCUCGUGGUUUUCAGCAGGAGCAUGGUCGUGAUUAUGACGAGACUUUUGCUCCUGUGGCCCAUAUGACCACUAUUCGUACACUUCUUGCUGUUGCCUCUGCACGCCACUGGUCUAUAUCUCAGCUUGAUGUUAAGAAUGCCUUUCUUAAUGGUGAGCUGCGUGAGGAGGUGUACAUGCAGCCACCACCUGAGUAUUCUGUUUCUGAUGGCAUGGUGUGUCGUCUUCGUCGCUCUCUCUAUGGCCUUAAGCAAGCCCCUCGCGCCUGGUUUGAGCGUUUUGCUUCUGUGGUCACUACUGCUGGUUUUUCAGCAAGUGUUCAUGAUCCCGCAUUGUUUAUUCAUCUUUCUCCUCGUGGCCGGACUAUUCUUCUUCUCUAUGUUGAUGAUAUGGUCAUCACUGGGGAUGACCCCGAGUAUAUUGCCUUUGUCAAGGCCCGUCUUAGUGAGCAGUUUCUUAUGUCUGAUCUUGGACCUCUUCGCUAUUUUCUUGGGAUUGAAGUCUCUUCUGCCUCUGAUGGCUUUUUUAUAUCCCAGGAAAAGUAUAUCCAGGAUCUUCUUGCUCGUGCUGCUCUUUCUGACGAACGCACUGUUGAGACUCCUAUGGAGCUCAAUGUUCACCUUCGUGCUACUGAUGGUGAUCCUCUCCUUGACCCGACGCGUUAUCGUCAUCUCGUUGGCAGUCUUGUCUAUCUAGCUGUCACUCGUCCGGACAUCUCUUAUCCGGUUCAUAUUCUGAGUCAGUUUGUUUCUGCUCCCACAUCGGUUCAUUAUAGUCAUCUUCUUCGUGUUCUCCGAUAUCUUCGGGGCACGAUCUCACACCGUCUCUUCUUUCCUAGCUCCAGUUCUUUACAGCUUCAGGCCUAUGCGGAUGCUACGUGGGCUAGUGAUCCUUCUGAUCGCCGUUCGCUUUCUGCUUACUGUGUUUUUCUUGGCGGUUCUCUCAUUGCCUGGAAGACGAAGAAACAGAUUGCAGUUUCCCGUUCGAGUGCUGAGGCUGAGUUGCGAGCUAUGGCUCUUUUGACGGCAGAGGUGACUUGGUUACGGUGGUUACUUCAGGACUUUGGUGUUUCUGUUACUACACCGACUAUGCUCUUAUCUGACAGUACAGGUGCUAUUAGCAUUGCGCGUGAUCCUGUGAAGCAUGAGCUCACCAAGCAUAUUGGUGUUGAUCCUUUCUAUGUGCGCGCUGCUGUGCAGGAUUAG